UACGGAGGGGCUAGCGUUGUUCGGAAUUACUGGGCGUAAAGCGCACGUAGGCGGCUUUGUAAGUUAGAGGUGAAAGCCCGGGGCUCAACUCCGGAAUUGCCUUUAAGACUGCAUCGCUAGAAUUGUGGAGAGGUAAGUGGAAUUCCGAGUGUAGAGGUGAAAUUCGUAGAUAGUUGGAAGAACACCGAGUGCGAAGGCGACUUACUGGACACAUAUUGACGCUGAGGUGCGAAAGCGUGGGAGCAACAGG
Molecule: ribosomal RNA, 250 nt
Filed under: uncultured bacterium
Lineage: Bacteria
Description: partial 16S ribosomal RNA
Rfam family: Bacterial small subunit ribosomal RNA
Source: RNAcentral